UUGGGUUUUUUUCUUGUCAGACUUAUUCAAGUGUGUGUCUUGUUUAACAAAAAAAGAAGUUGGGAGGCCGCCACGAAUGCAACAUUGAUGUUUACGUCUAUCUCGAUCGUCUCGAGAUAACGAGCGUCUGCAACAUGUUAGAAAACAGCUCUCUUCAAUUGUGUUUUUUUUUGUAUCAUCAUUAUUAUUAUUAUUUCGUUUUGCAUAACCCGUUGAGAAGACCAGACAACGAUAAAGCAAUCUGAGAUCAAGAGGUCAUCUGUUUCAACAGAGAUCGCUUUGAUGGAGGUUACCAAACAACACAAAUACUAUAUUGUAAAGAAUUAUUUCCAGCUUUUUCUUCGAUUCUAACUAUUUAACGUGUAUGCAAACGACCCUUGAAGAAAGAAGUAAUUUAAAUUACAUACGCCUGGAUAUUGGAGCUUAUGGUCUCGUACAUUCUCCGCACAAAUGUAAUUAAAGUCGGAGACAUAAAGAUAUGCUCAUUGUGUAUUUCGUUAGUCGUUUAAACUAAGAGUCAAAUUAAGAUACGUAUCUCUA
Molecule: long non-coding RNA, 540 nt
Organism: Daphnia carinata
Lineage: Eukaryota; Metazoa; Arthropoda; Branchiopoda; Diplostraca; Daphniidae
Exons: 2
Source: RefSeq, a predicted model, not a curated record